CCUACGGGUGGCUGCAGUGAGGAAUAUUGGGCAAUGCCCGAAAGGGUGACCCAGCAACGCCGCGUGGAGGAUGAAUGCCGUAAGGUUGUAAACUCCUGUUAGAGGGGAAGAAAAAUCUCGAUCAAAUCGGGAACUGACUGUACCCUCAGAGAAAGCCCCGGCUAACUACGUGCCAGCAGCCGCGGUAAUACGUAGGGGGCAGGCGUUGUCGGGAUUCACGGGGUGUAAAGGGCGCUCAGACGUCUGAGCAGAAAUCCUACAGCUUAACUGUAGAACUGCCUUUGAGACUGCUAAUCUUGAGUACGGAAGAGAGAGAUGGAAUUCCAGGUGUAGUGGUGAAAUACGUAGAUAUCUGGAAGAACACCAGUGGCGAAGGCGGUCUCUUGGUCCUAUACUGACGCUAAGGCGCGAAAGCGUGGGGAGCAAACAGGAUUAGAUACCCGAGUAGUC
Molecule: ribosomal RNA, 450 nt
Filed under: uncultured bacterium
Lineage: Bacteria
Description: partial 16S ribosomal RNA
Rfam family: Bacterial small subunit ribosomal RNA
Source: RNAcentral